Molecule: transfer RNA, 72 nt
Filed under: bacterium
Lineage: Bacteria
Description: tRNA-Gly
Rfam family: tRNA
About the family: Transfer RNA (tRNA) molecules are approximately 80 nucleotides in length. Their secondary structure includes four short double-helical elements and three loops (D, anti-codon, and T loops).
Source: RNAcentral
GCGGGUGUCGUAUAGUGGCUAUUAUGCAACCUUCCCAAGGUUGAGAGGGGGGUUCGAUUCCCCUCACCCGCU